UACGGAGGAGGCAAGCGUUAUCCGGAAUUAUUGGGCGUAAAGCGUCCGCAGGUGGCACCUCAAGUCUGCUGUCAAAGACCGGGGCUUAACCCCAGAAAGGCAGUGGUAACUGAAGUGCUAGAGUGCAGUAGGGGUAGAGGGAAUUCCCGGUGUAGCGGUGAAAUGCGUAGAGAUCGGGAAGAACAUCGGUGGCGAAAGCGCUCUGCUGGACUGCAACUGACACUCAGGGACGAAAGCUAGGGGAGCGAAUGGG
This 253-nucleotide ribosomal RNA is filed under the name uncultured bacterium. Its description in RNAcentral is "partial 16S ribosomal RNA". It matches the Rfam family "Bacterial small subunit ribosomal RNA", at positions 524 to 776 of the family's 1533-position model. The record is from RNAcentral.